GAGGAUAUAGUUUAAUGGAAAAAUAGCUAACUUUCAUUUAGUAGACGGUGGGUUCGAUUCCUGCUAUCCUCACCA
This 75-nucleotide transfer RNA is filed under the name Paraclostridium sordellii. RNAcentral describes it as "tRNA-Glu". It matches the Rfam family "tRNA". From Rfam's summary of the family: Transfer RNA (tRNA) molecules are approximately 80 nucleotides in length. Their secondary structure includes four short double-helical elements and three loops (D, anti-codon, and T loops). The record is from RNAcentral. Lineage: Bacteria; Bacillati; Bacillota; Clostridia; Peptostreptococcales; Peptostreptococcaceae.